GCUGUGGAACUCCUACGGGAGGCAGCAGUGGGGAAUAUUGCACAAUGGGCGAAAGCCUGAUGCAGCGACGCCGCGUGAGGGAUGACGGCCUUCGGGUUGUAAACCUCUUUCAGCAGGGAAGAAGCGAAAGUGACGGUACCUGCAGAAGAAGCACCGGCUAACUACGUGCCAGCAGCCGCGGUAAUACGUAGGGUGCGAGCGUUGUCCGGAAUUAUUGGGCGUAAAGAGCUUGUAGGCGGUUUGUCGCGUCUGCUGUGAAAAUCCGGGGCUCAACCCCGGACUUGCAGUGGGUACGGGCAGACUAGAGUGUGGUAGGGGAGACUGGAAUUCCUGGUGUAGCGGUGAAAUGCGCAGAUAUCAGGAGGAACACCGAUGGCGAAGGCAGGUCUCUGGGCCAUUACUGACGCUGAGAAGCGAAAGCAUGGGGAGCGAACAGGAUUAGAUACCCCUGUAGUCCUACCACGU
Molecule: ribosomal RNA, 465 nt
Filed under: uncultured bacterium
Lineage: Bacteria
Description: bacterial SSU rRNA
Rfam family: Bacterial small subunit ribosomal RNA
Source: RNAcentral